This 443-nucleotide ribosomal RNA is filed under the name uncultured bacterium. RNAcentral's name for it is "partial 16S ribosomal RNA". It matches the Rfam family "Bacterial small subunit ribosomal RNA", at positions 338 to 795 of the family's 1533-position model. The record is from RNAcentral.
CCUACGGGUGACAGCAGUGGGGAAUAUUGGGCAAUGGGCGCAAGCCUGACCCAGCAACGCCGCGUGAAGGAAGAAGGCUUUCGGGUUGUAAACUUCUUUUCUCAGGGACGAAGAAAGUGACGGUACCGGAGGAAUACGCCACGGCUAACUACGUGCCAGCAGCCGCGGUAAUACGUAGGUUGCAAGCGUUAUCCGGAUUUACUGGGUGUAAAGGGCGUGUAGGCGGGAAAGCAAGUCAGAUGGGAAAACCAUGGGCUCAACCUGUGGCCUGCAUUUGAAACUGUUUCCCUUGAGUAUCGGAGAGGUCAUCGGAAUUCCUAGUGUAGCGGUGAAAUGCGUAGAUAUUAGGAAGAACACCGGUGGCGAAGGCAGAUGACUGGAGGACAACUGACGGUGAGGCGCGAAAGCGUGGGGAGCAAACAGGAUUAGAUACCCGGGUAGUC